RNAcentral lists this transfer RNA (76 nucleotides) under Tessaracoccus rhinocerotis. RNAcentral describes it as "tRNA-Thr". It matches the Rfam family "tRNA". Rfam says of the family: Transfer RNA (tRNA) molecules are approximately 80 nucleotides in length. Their secondary structure includes four short double-helical elements and three loops (D, anti-codon, and T loops). Further hydrogen bonds mediate the characteristic L-shaped molecular structure. tRNAs have two regions of fundamental functional importance: the anti-codon, which is responsible for specific mRNA codon recognition, and the 3' end, to which the tRNAs corresponding amino acid is attached (by aminoacyl-tRNA synthetases). tRNAs cope with the degeneracy of the genetic code in two manners: having more than one tRNA (with a specific anti-codon) for a particular amino acid; and 'wobble' base-pairing, i.e. permitting non-standard base-pairing at the 3rd anti-codon position. The record is from RNAcentral. Lineage: Bacteria; Bacillati; Actinomycetota; Actinomycetes; Propionibacteriales; Propionibacteriaceae. RNAcentral also lists the same sequence under 3 other names.
GCCUCCGUAGCUCAGCGGCCAGAGCGCUCGCCUUGUAAGCGAGUGGUCGAGGGUUCGACUCCCUCCGGAGGCUCCA